AUUUAAGAAUGGCUUAUGCUCAACUGUUGCCAGUAGGUUGUUUUUGAGGCUGGAGUGAGUGCUCUGAAGAAAUAAAACCUCAUCUGGUUCAGGGACAAACAGAAAUAAGAUCUCUAAAUUUUACAGUAUAGGGUCUCUUGAAUGAGAUCUAUAUUAAAGGCUGCAUCUAGAAAAUGAAGAGCUUUUAGCCAUGUCUACUAAGGAUGUUACAGCUUCUUAGAAGUCUCUACCAGUAUUUUUCUGGAGGAGCAAAAAAGAUAUCAGAUUCGUAACUGGCCUAGUCUCAGUGGAGGAAUACAGCAAAAUCCAGUUGCACAAAUGCAGUUUGGAACUAGUCAGCAUCAAAGAAAACUGGAUCAUAAAACCAUGAAUAAAAGGGACUGAAAAAGUUGUAAUAGCUAAAUCCACUAUUAGUCGACCCUAUGAGGAAGAAGCAACAACCUAUUUCAGGGCAGUAACACAUCACGGGUCUCUCUGGGCCAUGUACCCUGCUGGAACCCGCACCAGCCCGCACUGCCAAGCCUCGCAGGGACUCUGUCCACGCAGUGAGAAAACGCUUUGACAGACAACCAUCCCACGCUAUAAAGUUUCUUAAAUACACUGCAUUUUCUGCAGGAAGUUUGAAAGUUAUUCUAAGUAAAACCACAAAUAGUUCCACUUGUUAUUUAGAUAAAUGAACAUUUGCAAGGCGUAGGCAAACAGCAGAGGUGAUAAGAAGCCGGGGAGGUGACAGGGAGGCAGAAAACUCCUUCAAGUUUCCGAGCGGGCGGUCAAUAGCGCUGCGGCGGCCCGGCCGGGCUGUGGCGAUCUCCAUGACACCGCAGCUC
Long non-coding RNA from Zonotrichia leucophrys gambelii, 827 nucleotides. RefSeq lists it as uncharacterized. The record is from RefSeq and is a predicted model, not a curated record. The transcript has 4 exons. NCBI's taxonomy places the organism in Eukaryota, Metazoa, Chordata, Aves, Passeriformes, Passerellidae.